UACGUAGGGUGCAAGCGUUGUCCGGAUUUAUUGGGUUUAAAGGGUGCGUAGGCGGCCCUGUAAGUCAGUGCUGAAAUAUCCCGGCUUAACCGGGAGGGUGGCAUUGAUACUGCGGGGCUAGAGUACAGAUGAGGUAGGCGGAAUUGACGGUGUAGCGGUGAAAUGCUUAGAUAUCGGCAAGAACACCUAUAGCGAAGGCAGCUUGCUGGGCUGUAACUGACGCUGAGGCACGAAAGUGUGGGGAGCAAACAGG
Molecule: ribosomal RNA, 253 nt
Filed under: uncultured bacterium
Lineage: Bacteria
Description: partial 16S ribosomal RNA
Rfam family: Bacterial small subunit ribosomal RNA
Source: RNAcentral